CAGUAGCCACGGUAAUACAGAGGGUGCGAGCGUUAAUCGGAUUUACUGGGCGUAAAGCGUGCGUAGGCGGCUUUUUAAGUCGGAUGUGAAAUCCCUGAGCUUAACUUAGGAAUUGCAUUCGAUACUGGGAAGCUAGAGUAUGGGAGAGGAUGGUAGAAUUCCAGGUGUAGCGGUGAAAUGCGUAGAGAUCUGGAGGAAUACCGAUGGCGAAGGCAGCCAUAUGGCCUAAUACUGACGCUGAGGUACGAAAGCAUGGGGAGCAAACAGGAUUAGAUACCCCAGUAGUCCCUGUCUCUUAUAC
This 301-nucleotide ribosomal RNA is filed under the name uncultured bacterium. RNAcentral's name for it is "partial 16S ribosomal RNA". It matches the Rfam family "Bacterial small subunit ribosomal RNA", at positions 509 to 807 of the family's 1533-position model. The record is from RNAcentral.